UACGAGGGGGGCGAGCGUUUGUUCGGAAUUAUUGGGCGUAAAGGGUGCGUAGGCGGUUUGGUAAGUCUGAUGUGAAAUCUAUGGGCUCAACUCAUAGUCUGCAUCGGAAACUGCCGGGCUUGAGUAUGGGAGAGGUGAGUGGAAUUCCUGGUGUAGCGGUGAAAUGCGUAGAUAUCAGGAGGAACACCGGUGGUGUAAACGGCUUUCUGGACCAUAACUGACGCUGAGGCACGAAAGCGUGGGUAGCAAACAGG
This 254-nucleotide ribosomal RNA is filed under the name uncultured bacterium. RNAcentral's name for it is "partial 16S ribosomal RNA". It matches the Rfam family "Bacterial small subunit ribosomal RNA", at positions 524 to 776 of the family's 1533-position model. The record is from RNAcentral.